Molecule: small nuclear RNA, 107 nt
Organism: Suncus etruscus (white-toothed pygmy shrew)
Lineage: Eukaryota; Metazoa; Chordata; Mammalia; Eulipotyphla; Soricidae
Source: RefSeq, a predicted model, not a curated record
GUGCAAGCUUUAGCAGUACAUAUACUAAAACUGGAACUAUACAGAGAAGGUUAGCAUGGCCCCUGUGCAAGGAUGAUAUGCAAAUUCAUGAAGCAUUCUAUAUUUAA